GGUACAAUUACCAUCUGGUCGUGUUGGGCUCGUCAUGCCAGGGAACCAAUAAGCAAAGAGUUAACUCUACAGGGGAUAAAAAUUGACCUUAACAACCAUGGGGGAGUUAGAAUUGCUGCUACACUUUGGGGACAGGGAGGAAUAUAUCUGAAAAAGAGGAGGCUCCCUGGGAUGUCUUUUGGUGCUUCAGCACUUAGUGGUAACUAAGAAUCAGCAGGUACAGCAACCACAGCCCAACAAGGGCCAGGAGGCUAAGGCUUCAGGAUAAAGGUCCCGAGUGGCUCCACUGGGCACACAGUUAGACCCUCCUACUAGUCAAAUAUAACGGAAAUUCAAAGUACAUAGUGGAGGAAAGAAAAUACUGAUUAUGGCUUUAGGAUUUACAUCCAAGCAGUGAGGAUAACCUUCAUUCAACUAACCUUUUAUUAAAUCCUCUCAAAUUUGCCUACCACCUUAAAAGGGACUCUGUAAUGGGAAUGAGAGAAACUGAGAGGUAAAAGAUAUGGACUAUAGUAGAUGUGCCUUGAACUCUGCCUCAAACCCUCUCCACAUCCCACUCCAGGACUGCCGUGGUGACUUGUUCUUUGAAAGCUUCACCCAGCUUUCCAUAGGGGCAACCUGACAACAUUUGACUGAGGCCUGUGAUUAUUCAGCAUUUAUGAGUGAGAGAAGGCUCAGUAGCAAAUCGAGCAGCAGAAAGAAAAGAGUCAGUAAAGAUUUGACAUCUCAUCUUUCAAAGUCAUUACAAGAAUUAUAUUAAAUAUUAUAUGCAAAAGCACAUCAGUGCUUGAGGAAGCGAAGGAAAGGGGCAAGGGGAGGGGGGAAUGCCUCCAAGAUUUGUUUUAUGCAGAGAAAUUCAGUUUUGUUCAGCCGCCGCUGCAGAACUCGGAUCGGAGAUUCACGUCACGUGGGAGAACUGAACUGAAGCUUCGAAGAGACGACUUACAAGAGCCCCUCCUCUCUGAACAUGCCUUCCUAGAUCUACGACACCAUUACAGCAUUAUUCCCUUGACUUUUGGUCAUAAGAACAGCCCAGAUGACUUCUGGUCAUAUGAAGAGAAUUUUAUAUUUUGGAAAAUUGAUACUGAGAACACAGAUAUUAAGGGGUCAAUUCUUGAAAUUAAGAGCUAACUAGGAUAAAGCUUGUCACUUCUGAGCAACCACAAAAAAACAGCACAAAAAUCUACUUAAGAGAGGAGAUGAAAUGGAUUACAAAACGACUACGUUAGCACAAAGAGGGCAGAAAAGGAGAAACAGAAUGAAGAAUGGACAGAACAAAUAGAAAUCAAAUACGUGGAUGUAAGAACUGGACACAAACUGAAACAAAUGAAUUGGAUACACAAGUACAUCCAGAAAAUAAGUAUUUCAAGUGACUAAAACAGUAUUUUGCCUGUAUACCAACAACAGAAUAUAAUCCAAAGACAAAUAUGGCAGCAAAGAAAUGCUUUAUUUCAUUAAUCAAUCUUAAUUUUACUAACAGUACUUUAUUAUUAAUUUGUAGGUAUGUAUCUGGUAGGUUAAAGCAAAUAAGUAAAUACUUCAGUACUGUUAAGGCCAAGAUUUUUCAUGUAAGGUAAAAGAGAUACAAGUAUAAAUUUUUAAAAAUAUUCAGUAAGAGCUCUUAAUGCUAAGUUAGAAUUGAAAAUAUACCAUAAUAAAUUCAUGAUAUUUUUCAAAACUAUUCAAUUUUCUAGCUUUAUGUUCUGAAAUGCUUAGAAGCAAGACAGCCCAAUAACAAUUAGCACCCCUAA
Panthera uncia (snow leopard) is the source of this 1751-nucleotide long non-coding RNA. RefSeq lists it as uncharacterized. The transcript is spliced from 6 exons. The record is from RefSeq and is a predicted model, not a curated record. NCBI's taxonomy places the organism in Eukaryota, Metazoa, Chordata, Mammalia, Carnivora, Felidae.